RNAcentral lists this small RNA (573 nucleotides) under Pongo abelii (Sumatran orangutan). RNAcentral describes it as "retained intron". Lineage: Eukaryota; Metazoa; Chordata; Mammalia; Primates; Hominidae. The record is from RNAcentral.
ACGGGAGCGCCGCACCGGCCGGCAUGGAGGAGCGCGGCGAUUCCGAGCCGACCCCCGGCUGCAGCGGCCUGGGUCCGGGCGGUGUUCGCGGCUUUGGCGACGGCGGCGGAGCUCCCUCGUGGGCCCCCGAGGACGCCUGGAUGGGCACUCACCCUAAGUAUUUAGAAAUGAUGGAAUUAGAUAUAGGAGAUGCCACCCAAGUUUAUGUAGCAUUCUUGGUUUACCUGGACCUCAUGGAAAGCAAAAGCUGGCAUGAAGUAAACUGUGUAGGAUUACCAGAACUCCAGCUCAUCUGCCUUGUUGGUACUGAGAUAGAAGGGGAGGGGUUACAGACUGUGGUGCCUACCCCCAUCACUGCUUCCCUCAGCCAUAACAGAUAUUGGUGUGCCACUUUUGAAGAAGGAAAAUACUUAGCUACACUAAAAGAUUUGCAUUGAAGAAGCGAUUGUGAUAUGCUGCCUUUUAUCACAGUGUGACUUCCCAUCAGUGCUGAGUAAUGAAGUUUCUGAUUAAUAUCUAUCGUUGCUUUAUCAGAAUAUCUUUCUCUAAAGUAAAUCAUUCUUAUGAAUAAGA